AGAGGCUUCGGCAAUGGGGGCAACCCUGACCGAGCGACGCCGCGUGGGUGAUGAAGAUUCUCGGAUCGUAAAACCCUGUCAGGUGGGAUGAAAAAUCAUUCGGUUAAUACCCGAGUGACAUGACAGUACCACCAGAGGAAGCUCCGGCCAACUCCGUUCCAGCAGCCGCGGUAACACGGGGGGAGCAAGCGUUGUUCGGAUUCAUUGGGCGUAAAGAGCUCGUAGGCGGCUCUGUAAGUCGGGGGUGAAAUCCCACAGCUCAACUGUGGACACGCCUUCGAUACUGCGGAGCUUGAGGCCGGGAGAGGAAAGUGGAAUUCCUGGUGUAGCGGUGAAAUGCGUAGAUAUCAGGAGGAACACCAGUGGCGAAGGCGACUUUCUGGACCGGUUCUGACGCUGAGGAGCGAAAGCCAGGGGAGCAAA
Molecule: ribosomal RNA, 423 nt
Filed under: uncultured bacterium
Lineage: Bacteria
Description: bacterial SSU rRNA
Rfam family: Bacterial small subunit ribosomal RNA
Source: RNAcentral